RNAcentral lists this long non-coding RNA (868 nucleotides) under Heterocephalus glaber (naked mole-rat). RNAcentral's name for it is "lncRNA (ENSHGLG00000037740.1)". Lineage: Eukaryota; Metazoa; Chordata; Mammalia; Rodentia; Bathyergidae. The record is from RNAcentral.
CCAGGAGGCAGGGCUUGCUGCAGUGGUCGCCCCUCCUUCCCAUCAGCUAGCUGGGCAGGCUGCUUGGAGAGGAAGCCCCAGCCGGCAGGAUCUCAUCUGGCCGCCGCGUUCUGAAAGAGGCCAGGGAUAGAGCGCGCGCGCGAGGAGAACAGAGACGGCGGGGAAAAGGGAGAAGGCGAGACGCGCAGCGCCGGCGCCCGGGAGACCCAGGAGGACCCCGCAGGUAUUGUUGGCGGCAGAGCUUUGUGUCCUCGGCCGGCGUUCCUGGCGCGAGGGCUCCCCGAGUCCCGGCCCGCCGAGGCACUCAGACCUGCCCAGAGCCCGGGGCUGCCAGUGGGGGUCGCCGCCUGCCGUGGGUACCCCUCCCGCGGCGCUGCGAUCUCGGAUGGAGUUGCAGAUUUGCCUGAUUUGGGUUUUUCAUGUCAGUGGAGGGAAUUGGUCUCAGAAGAAAUUUCUUUCUUUGCUUUUUUCCCCCUCUGACCGCAGUUUGGUUGUGCCGGGGAUUCCUCCCUCCCCUUUCCUCCACAAUGCUUUGGUGAGUGGUGUUGGCGACAGUGACGCUGGCGGCAGGCUUGGGGCUGAGAUGGCGGGGCUGUUGCCCGCGGCCCGGGAGGUGAGGGAUGCCAAAGGAAGGAGUUCUGUCUCAAGUUCGCCAUUUGCGCCUGGAGCUAGUCCGGACGGGGUGGGCGGUCCGUGCACCCAGUCCUCCUCUGGACAACUGGUGGGAAACUUCCUGGGAGGGCCGCCUCCCGGCGGACUCGGUGCCCCGACGCCUCCAGGCGCAGCCUCGGGCCGCGAGUGGCCCCUCCUUGCCGCCCUCGAGCGCUUAAGGUCGCUCUCUCCCCACCCCCGCCUUCCUCCCUCCGCU